UGUAUGUUAUUGUGUUUCAUUGGUUCUGUUUUAUGUCUCUGUGUGACAGGAGGCCAUGCAGCAGUGGUACCAACACUACCAUGCACAGAACUAUGGCAACUCUAGCCAAGAGACAGCUGCAGUUACUGAAUGCACAAAAGAGCAACCUCAGGUGGUGGUCACCUCCUCAUACGGAGACUACAGUUCCUACAUGCAUGCUGUCAGUCAGUACUAUUCUCAGACGCAGAUGAGCCAGACAGCUGCUCAAGUCUACCAGCACCGAGAUGUCAGCAAGAGUCAGGCUAGAGGGCAGAAGCGAGAAUACCCCACACUGCCGACACAGGAAGUGACAUCAGAGGGACCGUAUGUAGGCCAGCACUCACAGGGUCUUGGGGGCCAGUACGCCGACUACUUCAAGAAGAAGAGGAUCUAACUCGUAUGUUGCCGUUGUCAUGUCCAGGCCUUAACUUGUAGUCUAUUACUGAUAUUUAUGAAAAGAUUGUACAAUUUAUUGUACGUAAGGAGGUUUAUUCCUCUUCUUGAACUGUAUGUGGAUCUGGGUACUGUUGUUAUUUCUGUCCGACGCCAGGCGGGACCUCUUAAGAUUGCUCUGACUCUGUCCCAAAUGAUGCAUUAAGAUAAUUGAUAUAUCUCUUUUUCUGUUCUGCCUGUUUACCUCUCCCCCAGGCGGGACGUACCAUUCCACUCCAGAGGGGGGGUUUAUGUGUCCGUGUUUAACUGUACAAACGGUUAAGGGCUGAUAAAGAUUGAGCUACACUCAGAGAAUAACAAUUUUCAAAGAUUUUUUUUUUCUGACAGGGUAGGGCAUA
This 809-nucleotide long non-coding RNA is filed under the name Sinocyclocheilus anshuiensis. RNAcentral describes it as "lncRNA (ENSSANG00000047092.1)". The record is from RNAcentral. Lineage: Eukaryota; Metazoa; Chordata; Actinopteri; Cypriniformes; Cyprinidae.